This 1650-nucleotide long non-coding RNA is filed under the name Canis lupus familiaris (dog). RNAcentral's name for it is "lncRNA (ENSCAFG00000056149.1)". Lineage: Eukaryota; Metazoa; Chordata; Mammalia; Carnivora; Canidae. The record is from RNAcentral.
UUUUUAAAACUUUAACAUUUGUAUCAACCUGAAGUCUCAUCAGAGGUAGCUGAGACAGGAGAUGCAAAAACUAUCUCUUUUACAUUCUCUGAGGUCUAAGAGCAAUAUCACAUAUGGUGUCCACAGUGGUAGGGGUUCCUUUUAUCAUAAUCUGAGUAAGGGGCAUCCCACGCAGGUCUGAUUUUCAUUGUCCCAUGACCUGUCCAGUACAGUCCAGGUUUGCAGCAUUUCCGCAGCUAGAGUAGACACGGACAUUUAAAUGACAAGGAAGGAGCAGAGGACCUACCUACCAGUCUCUAGUAGCUCCCCGUCUGAAUCUAUUCUAAUCAGCAAAGACUUCUCCUUGAACUAUCCCUAGGGAAGACAGCAGUCAAAGGAGGAUCCAGGAUAAGUGCAAUCAUCUCCACUGAACAGUAUUCAAAACCAGAGACACUGCUACUCGAUCUAAAACUCUCAGGAACCAUUUUAACAAAGGUCAUCAGGACAAUGCUUAUGACAGUCUAUAAAAGGCCUCUAUUUUGUUAGUGAAUAAUCUCUUACUUCAUUGCUUUCUUCCAUCACCAAUCAUCCUACUUGAAUUACCUUCGUAGUUGUAGUGGGCCUCAUAGGCUUAGCCAACCCAUCAGACUUUAUAGUGCCCACGUUCCUUUGGCUGGAGCUCCAUUUGUUAGUGAGAGAGGAUGAUGAAGCUCAAUUGAGGGAGAUUCUGGACUCUCAUUUCAGCUCAUGCUGAAAACAGCAACUAGGAACUGAUUUAGCUGACUUGCUAUCCAUUUGCUCGUCCUCUACUUUUGCUAGCUCCUGGCAUUCAGGCUGUCCUUUCUAUCACAGAAAGUCUACCUAUCAGUAAGUAACUGAUUUCAAAACUUGUGCUACUUUGAACCAAGAGUAGCUGGAACACCACCUCUGCAUCAAUGAAUGCUUCCUUUCCAUCCCCUUUGUCAGGAUUCUCCUUUUUCUUUCUAAAUAGUGCCUAUGUCAUAUUUUUAGCAAAAAAAAUGAGUCAAAAAUCUUCUAAGCUAUCCCACCUCUAACACCAAUUGCAACUGAAACAGGGUUCAACUAAGAAGACUGUUUGACCCCAAAAAACACCACUUAUAAAUCUAUUACUCACUAGGGGAAAAGGAUGCAAAACAAUGUGGAAGCAAGAAUUUGGAUCACUGUUAAAGACUGUCUCACAGCAAGGGUCUGUGGAGACCUGGUACAAGCUUGUUUUCUACCUUCUACAAUAAUUAUGGUUGUAAGCACUUUCUCUCUUAGAUAAGGAACCCCCUACACAUGCAUAAGACACCUUGGAACAAGGGAACCUAGGAGUCUCACUGGGAUUCCUAAUAUUUUGCUGGUUACACAUGCAUAUUCCUGGUACAAAACCAGCCUCAACAGCAGAGCUGUUGCAAGUCAGCAAUCACACUCUUACCAAUAAAUAAUGCUGACAGGCUGUUAAAAACCACCACAAAGCUCCUUGGGUCCAUGGUUAACAAAAAGCAACAUUCCUAAUCUGUAUGUUUCAUGGAUGGCAAACAGAGAGGUUACUGCCAGAUGGAAACUUUUAUUUUAUUUUAUUUAUUUUUUUUUUUUAAAGAUUUUAUUCAUUUAUUCAUGAGACUCACAGAAAGAGAGAGAGAGGCAGGGACACAGGCAGAGGGAGAA